CAUAGCAUCAAUGGCUAUUGACACUUUUCUACUAUUACGUGGGGGACUUUUACUCUGACAUUUUCCGAAAUUCCGUGACCCACAAUAUUUUUUUUUGUGUUGCUGACGAGACACUGAUCAUGUGAUGAGUUCGCAAAUCAAAUGCCCCGCGUGUGCUGCCACUGGACAGCAAAACAAGGUGGAACCAACUUGCAUUACCUCCAGCAGGAAGAGAAGCAAGAACCAUUCAUCCGCCAGCUCAGGGACAAGCUACACUAUUCACAGCCCUGUUUAAUGUUCAAUGUAAUUACAUUGCUGGACCUUUUGAAACUUAAUGUAUUUGUAUUGUUAAAAUUUUUUACAGAUAAAAAGAAAUGUAUGGUUUAAA
Long non-coding RNA from Coregonus clupeaformis (lake whitefish), 367 nucleotides. RefSeq lists it as uncharacterized. NCBI's taxonomy places the organism in Eukaryota, Metazoa, Chordata, Actinopteri, Salmoniformes, Salmonidae. The record is from RefSeq and is a predicted model, not a curated record. The transcript has 2 exons.